CUGCUGCUGAUGAGACCCAACCAGAUCGAAACAACUGUCCAACAC
This 45-nucleotide non-coding RNA is filed under the name Echinostoma caproni. The record is from RNAcentral. Lineage: Eukaryota; Metazoa; Platyhelminthes; Trematoda; Plagiorchiida; Echinostomatidae.